RNAcentral lists this long non-coding RNA (222 nucleotides) under Coffea arabica (coffee). RNAcentral's name for it is "long non-coding RNA (CARA_LNC005326)". Lineage: Eukaryota; Viridiplantae; Streptophyta; Magnoliopsida; Gentianales; Rubiaceae. The record is from RNAcentral.
UUUCCUUUAACACAGCCUUCACUGAGAGACUGAAAAUCACGGCCUCACUCCACCACUCAUUGAGACUAUUGAAGAACCGCUCCACCACCGAGCAGAGUUAUCUUGCAAAAACCCACUCUCUCCUCCAACACUCUCAAAGUUGUCUUGCAAAAACCCAGCGAGCUGAGCAAUGCAGCCUUCAACACAACUUUGAGACGAUUGAAGACCAGUGAUUGAAGACCC